RNAcentral lists this ribosomal RNA (646 nucleotides) under bacterium SVAL1.45. RNAcentral describes it as "bacterial SSU rRNA". It matches the Rfam family "Bacterial small subunit ribosomal RNA", at positions 59 to 702 of the family's 1533-position model. The record is from RNAcentral.
CAGUCGAGGGGUAACAGGGUGCUUGCACCGCUGACGACCGGCGCACGGGUGCGUAACGCGUAUACAAUCUACCUUGUAGAGGGGGAUAGCCCGGGGAAACCCGGAUUAAUACCCCAUAGUAUUAAAGAGCAGCAUUGCUUUUUGAUUAAACAUUUAUGGCUACAAGAUGAGUAUGCGUUCUAUUAGCUAGUAGGUAAGGUAACGGCUUACCUAGGCUACGAUAGAUAGGGGUCCUGAGAGGGAGAUCCCCCACACUGGUACUGAGACACGGACCAGACUCCUACGGGAGGCAGCAGUGAGGAAUAUUGGACAAUGGGCGAGAGCCUGAUCCAGCCAUGCCGCGUGCAGGAAGACGGCCCUAUGGGUUGUAAACUGCUUUUAUACAGGAAGAAACACUCCCUCGUGAGGGAGCUUGACGGUACUGUAAGAAUAAGGAUCGGCUAACUCCGUGCCAGCAGCCGCGGUAAUACGGAGGAUCCAAGCGUUAUCCGGAAUCAUUGGGUUUAAAGGGUCCGUAGGCGGGACAAUCAGUCAGCGGUGAAAGUCUGUGGCUCAACCAUAGAAUUGCCAUUGAUACUGUUGUUCUUGAGUGUUUAUGAAGUGGUUAGAAUAUGUGGUGUAGCGGUGAAAUGCAUAGAUAUCACAU